RNAcentral lists this ribosomal RNA (497 nucleotides) under uncultured bacterium. RNAcentral's name for it is "partial 16S ribosomal RNA". It matches the Rfam family "Bacterial small subunit ribosomal RNA", at positions 28 to 507 of the family's 1533-position model. The record is from RNAcentral.
GAUGAACGCUGGCGGCGUGCCUAAUACAUGCAAGUCGAGCGAACAGACGAGGAGCUUGCUCCUCUGACGUUAGCGGCGGACGGGUGAGUAACACGUGGAUAACCUACCUAUAAGACUGGGAUAACUUCGGGAAACCGGAGCUAAUACCGGAUAACAUGUUGAACCGCAUGGUUCAACAGUGAAAGACGGUUUUGCUGUCACUUAUAGAUGGAUCCGCGUCGCAUUAGCUAUUUGGUAAGGUAACGGCUUACCAAGGCAACGAUGCGUAGCCGACCUGAGAGGGUGAUCGGCCACACUGGAACUGAGACACGGUCCAGACUCCUACGGGAGGCAGCAGUAGGGAAUCUUCCGCAAUGGGCGAAAGCCUGACGGAGCAACGCCGCGUGAGUGAAGAAGGUCUUCGGAUCGUAAAACUCUGUUAUUAGGGAAGAACAAAUGUGUAAGUAACUAUGCACGUCUUGACGGUACCUAAUCAGAAAGCCACGGCUAACUACGUG